AUUGAACGCUAGCGGCAGGCUUAACACAUGCAAGUCGAACGAGCGGCGGACGGGUGAGUAAUGUCUGGGAAACUGCCUGAUGGAGGGGGAUAACUACUGGAAACGGUAGCUAAUACCGCAUACCAUCAGAUGUGCCCAGAUGGGAUUAGCUAGUAGGUGGGGUAAAGGCUCACCUAGGCAACGAUCCCUAGCUGGGUUGAGAGGAAGACCAGCCACACUGUGACUGAGAAACGGUCCAGACGCCUACGGGAGGCAGCAGUGGGGAAUAUUGGACAAUGGGGGAAAGCCUGAUGCAGCCAUGCAGCGUGUAUGAAGAAGGCCUUCGGGUUGUAAAGUACUUUCAGCGGGGAGGCGGUACCCGCAGAAGAAGCACCGGCUAACUCCGUGCCAGCAGCCGCGGUAAUUC
RNAcentral lists this ribosomal RNA (406 nucleotides) under uncultured bacterium. RNAcentral's name for it is "partial 16S ribosomal RNA". It matches the Rfam family "Bacterial small subunit ribosomal RNA", at positions 30 to 526 of the family's 1533-position model. The record is from RNAcentral.